CACUAUUCAGUGUCUUCUUGAGCCGGUCCCAAGUCCGGGUAAAUGCAGAGGGUUUUGUCAGAAAUCUCAUCCAACAUAAACCCAAAGAACAAUCAUCACGUUAACCAUUAACAGACCUUUCAUAUCAGAUUGGUCGUGUUCUGGGUUAACAACAACUUCCAGUGGUGCUGUUGACCUGCAGGGUGGAAAUCCCUGCACCUGGUGGUCAACACCAGGGUAACAGUCACCAUCAAGCUGAAGGAGGAGUCCGUUGGAGACUGGCAGGCUUGUGGGACUCCUGAGGAAGCUGUCAGGUACCAGCAGUCAAAGCGAGCUGCAGCCCGGACUGUUGUGGAGGAAAACACUAGUUUGUGGGAGGAGCUUGGUGAUUCCAUGGAGAAGGAAUAUCAGUGGGCCUUCAUCGGGGGUCAGUCUGGAAGCUGUCCCAGAACUCCCCUCCUUCCUCAUGUGUUAAGUAGGACACAGCUACUAAUCAGGAGAUUGUGCUUUAAACGCCCUCCUCUCCCCUGCUUCUGACAUGAACUCUUCCUAUCGCUGUACACAGAGCAGAAAUAAUUUCUCCUCAAAUGAAAGGUUGAUUAUUUUGAAUAGAACAUCCAAUAUUGGAGGAUUAUUCAAAUUUGUAUUUAGAUCUGUGAACGAUCUAAGACAGGAAAUGAAAAUACAGUUCAGGUCUAAAACAUUAACAGUAUCACAUUCACGGCCCUUUCGCCAUUUUGUCUGGCGUCGGCGUGAAAAGAGUAUUUUGGAUCAUCCAGAAGAUCCACAAGUGAAAGUCAUGAGUUUCUUUUCAGACCCGGAUCCAGCCUGGAAUCUGGAUCUGCCAGCCUCAUCCCAGAUCAAAUCCUAUUGACAUAUGAUUGGAUUGUUCCAUUCCCAGGCCUGUUUUUACAACACCACUGUUGUCUCUUUUUGUAGAUGCAUCUAUGAGUGCACUAUUGUGCGUAAAUCCAAGAGUGCAUCUGCAUUGUGUCAGUUUACACAACUUUCAUUACUUUGACCUCACAGGACAGAUGAGUUGAUAGUCACAAGGGGACAAUCUUUCUUUCCCUGCACAGUUUUUAGCAGGAACUCGGGUCACACAGACGGUCGGGUUGUUCAGGCUGAAGACUGAAAGCUCCAGAAAAUGUCCUAAAUUACAUUUGGUUUCAAGUUCUGCAGGCAGUAAACCUUUUUUUCUGUGCACUUGCAUUUCUGAGUAAAGCAAGGGCAAAACAAUCCCCUCUGGUCCAGGAGGCUGUCCGGCUCCAACCAGAUAACUGCGCGCUGUGACAGGACAUAAACCCCCGUUUUAGAUUAGCAUUCUAACCGCUGAUUGGGUCGCUGGAAAAGCCCUGUGGCCACAGCGGAUUUUCUGAUUGGCUAAUGGGACCCAGCGACCCGUCAAACUUCAGGUAUUUAAAUUUUGCGCCUCACCGCUCAAAUCGAGGUGCUGGCAGACUUUCCAAAUGCUUAGAAAAACAAAAAGUCAACGUUGUUUUGAGAAGCAUUCAAACAUCACAGGUUCUGAUACUGAUGGUUUAUUAAUUAACAAAAUGUGGGAAGCUCCAGCUGACAUUAGUGAGUUUCAGGAAAAUGACGAUACACUGAAAAGUCUGUUUUCAAAGGUUACAGAUGAGACCAAUGCAAUUCAAAUGGGUAAAGAGUACUCUAUUUUUGACAGGAAUGUGCCUUGUGUUCUUCGUGAUGGAAAAAAAACCGCAUAGUUAUUGCUAAAAGCUAGAUCAUUGGUAAUGCAUUUAGCACACACCUUCCCUUGGGCUGGACACCUCAGUCAACACAAAACAUACAUGCGCAUUAGUUCUUGAUUCUAUUGGCCUUGUAUGUACUUUGAUGUGCAAACGUUCUGUGCUACUUGUCCUAUCUGUCAAAAAACUGCUAUCUCUCUAAGUCUGACAGGACUCUCCUGCAACCACUCCCCAUCAUUCCUACUCCCUUCUGGAGGUUGGCAGUGGACAUUGUUGGACACUUGGGAAGAAGGAAGGAGUAUCGUGUUCAUACUGGAGAUGAGGGAGCGACCGCAAAGCUACAGAGAAGAAGCUGAGCUGCAUCUGCAGAAAGCUCAGAAAAUGCAGAGAACCUGAUAUAAUCAACUGACACGCCAUCGCGAGAACCAUCCAGUUUCCACAACAGGCCAAAGAGCAGCUCUGACCUCCUUGUCUUCUUUGGACAGAUCUUCACCAAAGUGAAGCUUGUUUUCUCGCAGGUAGGUGUUGUUUUUGGCAUUUCUCCAGAUCUCAUCUCGAACAGAGCGGUAGGCGAACAGAGUGAUGAUUCCUCGGGUCUUCUUGCCGUCUUGUCUUCCCAGCCGGUGUGCAACAUCAAUCCCAUCAGCUCCUCUUGAUAGGAAUGUCUGGGAGAGGCGUCAACUCCAUAUUGCCUUCUUUCAUAUGAGCUCAUGCUCACUUGUUUUAUUCUUCGAUGUAUCAGGGGCUCUCAACUUUCGCUUGUUAUCUUCUUUUUUCCGUGGCUGCUCAUUUUUUCUGUGAAAAGUUUCGUUGGUAGCAUUAGCCUGGAAAUUAAUUGAUGUCCCCAAGCUAGCACUAUGCUCAAAGCUUAGUUUUUGUAAAUAAUUGGUCUUAAUACAAGUUAAUUUGUUCAGUGUUCCAAUAAUUCCAUAAAUAUUAGCUGGCUUCUUGAAAUUGUUAUUAAUUGCUUGGAGAUCCGGUAAAAUGCGCGUGGACUCACCGCCAUCUUGAAUCAGCCCUCGGCCCAAAACUGUUUAUUGCAGGUACAGAAAACAUCAUUUUAACCAUAGAUAUAAUAGAGAGUAGAUGCUGCAUUGGCUGCUGGGGCGCAGGAAAAGAAGCAUGAGCAUUGAGUGGAGUGAACAUUCUCAUUCAAAUCGGUGGACUAUUGAAAGCAGGGCUCGGGGGAUCACUUUUCACAAGUAAGUUUGAACGUUUUUAUCGGUUAUAUUUUUGGAAUAGGCUGUAAUAUCCCUGCACUGUUAUGUACACCAGCGAACUCAGUCAGCUAAUGUCAGCUAUAGGCUAUAUCUAGUGUUGGUGUUCACCUAGCUAUGAAGGGUAACUGAGACUUUUUAAAUAAUAUAUUCCAUAACAAUAACUUAGAUUACAACUGACACAAUAAUGCUGCUGUAGAAGUAAAACAAAUAUUACUGGUAUUAGAUAUCUCUCAUGGCCAUCCAACCUCAGAGAUUUAAAAAUACAAACAACUGAAGGUCUGGCUGACUCACAAUUUCAGCAGCUUUGGUUCAUUAUCAAAAGAAAUGUGAAAUUUUAUUUUGUUGACAAAAGGUUCUAAUAAAUGUGAAGGAUGAAGUAAAUAGGAACAAUGGAAUAAAAUGGGAAUAAUAAGAAGAAUGAAGAAAAUAAGAUUGACCUCUUUUAUAAUGUGUUUAAGGAGCAUGCAGGAACCCAGAAGAUAAGAAACUUGCACUGCAAACAUGAAAAGCUCACACCAUUAUCACUGUCACAUAUAUAUAAAUGAUUAUGCUUCUCCAUUUUAUCCAGAAAAGGGCAGGGCCACAUCUACCUCCAGAAGAGCUGAAGAGAGCCUGUCAGUGCCCUCUCAGGAUGAGACUUCAACCUCACCCCCUCAGCAUGAGCCCUAAUGAUGUAUUUCUGUUUUAACAUCAAAACAGAAUGACCCUGGACAUUAAAAUCUCCCUUGUAUGCUGUUACCCAGAUUAAACCCAAUGACGUGCUGAGAGCUGCAGAGAGGGGGAUUCAUCAGGCUUCAACAAAGCAGCUCCAAAGGUGUCAACAGUCACACACACCGACCUGGAGGAGAUUGGAACAGAGGACGUUUUUCUGCUUGGAGACCAAUAGCGGGGACACAGUUUGGCAUCGACAACCAUCAUUCCAACUUGUCAUUGGUUGUUUUUGUGUUUCAGAAGAUAAGGCUGCACAACAUUGAAAACGUACCUCUGUUGACCUGCAGAAAGGAAGCACAAGAAAAUAGCUUUGUGAAGAAUAAUGAAAUUAUGAUUUAAACAAUCUAUGAUUGUGAAAUGGUGAUUGUAGAUAACAAUGUAUAGAAUUUAUGAGUAAAAAGGGGAAAAAUUUAAAGUUACUGAAUAUUGUAUUGUUUUGUUUAGAUUUAUAUACUGUGAAUUAUUUGAGUUACUGGAAAAAUACAUAAAGGAAUAGGCUUAAAUAAGUGUUUGCUUCUGCCGAUCUUGUUUUCAAACGUGUAUGUAUUGAAUUUGUCAUGGUUCUGCUCUGCUCCUUCACCCCUCCCUUCCUCCACUCUAAUUUCAUUCACCUGUGUUAAUUAAGUUCUCAUUGCGCUCCAGUUGGUGUUCACACUAUUUAAGAUCCUCACUUUCACCUCUUCACUGCCAGUUCGUUGAAUCAGUCACGUUCCAGCUAGUAACAAACCUUGCACUUUUAGUCUUUUCAUGUUUUUGACCCUUUUCUGCCCUGGUAACGAGUUUAAGCCUGUCCCCUGUCUGGAGUUUUUCUCCCCUGGUUUUUCUUCCUCCGUUUCCAUCCUGAAGAGGCGUGACGUUUCCAGAUCCCUUAUCUCAACACGGAGUAAAGCUGCCCCAACACUGGUCUUCACCCUCCAGUGGAUUCUCCUCCUGCACACAGCAGCAGUGGGGGAAGCUUCCAUCAUUCCUGACACCAUCCGCCCUGCACUCGGACGCUUCAAAGGCUGUUCUCUCACGUCUGCUUCUGGAGUUCUAAGCUCACCUGUGCAUCUGGCGGCCACUGAUUAAUUCUACCUCCCUAAUAAACACCUUAAUUGUGACCUGG
Molecule: long non-coding RNA, 4724 nt
Organism: Oryzias melastigma (Indian medaka)
Lineage: Eukaryota; Metazoa; Chordata; Actinopteri; Beloniformes; Adrianichthyidae
Exons: 3
Source: RefSeq, a predicted model, not a curated record